CCUACGGGAGGCUGCAGUGGGGAAUAUUGGGCAAUGGGCGCAAGCCUGACCCAGCAACGCCGCGUGAAGGAAGAAGGCUUUCGGGUUGUAAACUUCUUUUCUGAGGGACGAAGAAAGUGACGGUACCUCAUGAAUAAGCCACGGCUAACUACGUGCCAGCAGCCGCGGUAAUACGUAGGUGGUAAGCGUUAUCCGGAUAUAUUGGGUGUAAAGGGCGUGUAGGCGGGAAGGCAAGUCAGAUGUGAAAACUCAGGGCUCAACCCUGAGCAGGCAUUUGAAACUGUUUAUCUUGAGUGCUGUGGAGGCGAUCGGAAUUCCGUGUGUAGCGGUGAAAUGCGGAGAUAUACGGAGGAACACCAGUGGCGAAGGCGGAUUGCUGGACAGUAAAUGAAGCUGAGGCGCGAAAGCGUGGGGAGCAAACAGGAUUAGAUACCCCAGUAGUC
RNAcentral lists this ribosomal RNA (443 nucleotides) under uncultured bacterium. RNAcentral's name for it is "partial 16S ribosomal RNA". It matches the Rfam family "Bacterial small subunit ribosomal RNA", at positions 338 to 795 of the family's 1533-position model. The record is from RNAcentral.